This 2885-nucleotide long non-coding RNA is filed under the name Malus domestica (apple). RNAcentral's name for it is "long non-coding RNA (MDOM_LNC005026)". Lineage: Eukaryota; Viridiplantae; Streptophyta; Magnoliopsida; Rosales; Rosaceae. The record is from RNAcentral.
UAGUGGAGGUUCGUGAGGUAUUUUUGAGCAUGGCAAACUGCUUUCCUCUGCGUCUCCUCUCUUUAGGUCUGCUUUUGGGUUUUUGUUUGAAUGCAUGUGAUGUUGAAGUCCCUUCUGCCCUUCCAUCCUAUAUGAUAUCUACUAAUUAAGUUCAGAACCCAGUUAAGCGUCAACAUAUUCCCCAUUCGCUUGCCAUUGCCAUAUACUCUUUUACUUGCUGAACAUUACUCAUGUAUAAUUAAAAUUGAAUUGAUUAAGUCUCGAUUGAUCUCAAUUUUUAAGGGCAAUUGAGCCAGGUUAUGUCUUUUAUUUUUGAGGUGAUGGGGUUUGAGAGGAGCUUCAACUAUUUAUGGCGUGCAUAAAAAUUUGUAAAUGAAAUUAGAGAAACUAAAAUGAGAAGGAAGAAUUGCUCAUCUACUAAUUUAUUAACUACUAAAUGAAAUCAGAGGAAUUGAAUUGAAAAAGAUUUAGACUGAGGAAGAUUUAAAAUCAAACUCGUGUUGAAAUGCUUAUCAAAAUAUUUAUAGAAUCAAAGUAAGAUUAAUAUAAAUUUCUUAUAAGCUAUUUAUAAAGAGUCAGUUUGAGAUUGUUGCGAGUUUAAAAGUUGCUACCACUAUUUUUUAGAACUAAACACCGGUACUAUCACUAGUAGAACUGAACAUUAAUUAUUUCUUAAAACUGAGCACUAACUAAUUCUUAAAACUGAAAACUAGUACUACACUAUUUCUAGAACUGAACAUGGGUACUAUCACUAUUUCUUAAACUGAACACUGGUACUAUCACUAUUUCUUAAACUGAACACUGGUACUAUUACUAUUUCUUAAACUGAACACUGACUAUUUAUGAAACUAAACACGAGUACUACACUAUUUCUAGAAAUGAACAUGGAUACUAUCACUAUUUCUUAAAUUGAACACUUGUACUACUACUAUUUCUUAAACUGAACACUGACUAUUUAAGAAACUAAACACGAGUACUACACUAUUUAUGAAACUGAACACUAGUACUACACUAUUUUUGAAACUCAAUUCCCGUACUAUCACUAUUUCUUAAACUGAAUAUUAACUAUUUCUUAAACUAAACAUGGGUGCUACACUAUUUCUGAAACUCAACACUGGUACUAUCACUAUUUAUUAAACUGAACACUGACUAUUUCUAGAACUAAAUAAGGAUACUAUCACUAUUUCUUAAACUGAAUAUUAACUAUUUCUAUAACAGUUUGGGUUCGUGAUGAGAGGAUACAGAGGUUAUGAAGAUACAAAAAGCUAAGGUUUCCCGUGGGGAGCUUGAAAAAUUAAAAAAGAAUGGUAUGAAAAAUAAAAAGAACGGUUAUUUAACCAAAAGAUCAAAAAUAGAUCCACUGAUUGUAUAUGGGCUUAUUAAUUUCACAUAUCCUUCCUUCACACACAUGAAUUAAAAUAUAUAGUGGAAGCCAUCGGAGAGCUUAAACAAUUGAAUAUAUUGUAAUCCAUUCUCCACAUAUGACCUGCUAUUGAUUUGCUACCAAUCUUUUUUCAUUAAGUUCAUAUGCUGUCCCAAGGCACAAUCAUAUGCUACAGACUACAGUACCUUGUCAGGAAUGAUCACCGCACUACGAACAAUUAUAUAUCAACAAUCCGCGCGCACAUCUAUUGAUGAACAGGAGGUUUGUAUGAAAAUGCAGAGCAAACCCGGGAUGAAGAACACCAUCUCCAGCUCUCUGGAGUAGAAAGACUCGAAUAGAUAUUAUUUAACCAAAAGAUCAUAAAUACAUCCCGCCGAUUGGGGAAAAGAGCGUGAAAAAUAUCUUCAAAACAUACAAAAAGCAGAAAGAAUUCAAAAGAAAAAGAUCAUAAAUGAAUGAUUUACCAUGGGGAACUCGAAGGGAUAAAAUUGUUCGAAGUGCGGUUGGAGUCGGCCGGCCGUUUGUGAGGGUUGGGUUUUAUGCGGUUUUGGCAGUGCAUUGAUCUGGGUUUUGUUGCUUUGCUUGCGGGUAGUAGUUUGGUCUGUUUCACGAAAAAACUAACGGAAGGUCAAGGGUAAAAUUGGAAACACAUUAGGUUAUUUCAGUUGGGCCAUGUUGAUUGGACUGAUUAAGUGUUGGGCUUUAUCCUAACCAUUAAAUAAACUUAUUAGAUGGUUUUUGGUUAAAAUCCAAAGUUUUGGAACCCUUAUCAUUAAUUUUCCUUUAAAUUUUUCUUGCUUGUAUUGAACCCUUCCAUUUGUAAAAUGGUGCUCUUCCAAUUUUUCAUAUUUUAUUACACUCUUUAUAAAUGACUUAACGAGCAUCCGUUUUUAUAAGGCUUUAGAUGGAGAAGAACUUUGACAUGCAAUAUAGAUUUUAUAUUGUAUCACAAAUCAAUUGUACACUAUUAAAAGAUACCUAUGCAACAAAGAUUUUAUAUUGUAUCACAAAUCAAUUGUACACUGUUAAAGGAUACCUUCUUCAGUGAUGAAAGGCCAUCUUCAACCCCGUCUAGAAUUAUAAUCCUGCAAAAAAUUAUUUUUAAAUAAACAGUGUCAGAUCAUACCAUAUACAAUUUCCAACCGAAGGGGUAGCCCCACAAUAAUUUAUUAGUUUUAAGUUUAUACUUUAAAUUUAUUGUUUAAUUUCAUUAAAGUACAUUUAGAUGCUUUCAAUUAAGUCGUUAAAUUUGAAUUAAUUAUUGCAUUUGAGGAGUUGUGCCCAAAAAAAGGUUAAAAGACUAUGUUUGGCUAGCCUGGUGCCAUUUUAACCAAAUAAUAGUCUGGUGCGCUCAACAUAAUUAUUGCCUAAUCAUGGAGAUGACCCAAGUUUUCUGAGUGGAAGCCCUUUUCAAGUUUAAGAGUAGUUCCACCCCUAAAAAAAAUAAGCCAGCACCCAACCCAUUUAAUCCACUCAGUGAACAGUGAUAGACCCCAAUGAA